This is a long non-coding RNA of Manacus vitellinus (golden-collared manakin), 1243 nucleotides long. RefSeq lists it as uncharacterized. NCBI's taxonomy places the organism in Eukaryota, Metazoa, Chordata, Aves, Passeriformes, Pipridae. The record is from RefSeq and is a predicted model, not a curated record. The transcript is spliced from 2 exons.
GGGACAGGGUGGGAUUGUUGGGGUGUCUGUGCAGGGCCAGGACUCGAUGGUCCCUGUGAGUCCCUUCCAGCUCAGGGUGUUCUGUGGUCCUGUGAACUCAGGAGGAGCUGGUUUUGUCUGAAGGUCUGUCUGCAGCACCUCGAUGAAUCAACUGCCCCGGCUGCUGCCUGGGACAUGCACACAACACCCUGGUCACAAGGGGGUUGAGUUGGAUUGGGAUUAGUUUUGGUGUUGUUUGUGGGCAAAUCUUGUUGUCGUAACACAUCAAAGUGGUCCUUGAAACAGACCCCUAAAAGCAACCCUCUCACACCCAUCGUUUGGAGAAAAGGGGGAAACCAGAGACAGGACGCUGACCCAGAAGCCUAUGAAUUCAUGCAGGUAACAACAGUGCUGAUGGAGCUGUUGCCCUGACACUCUUUCUGUCCAACAUUUAGUGUAGUUUCUUUCAUCUUUAAUAUACUAAUGUCAUUAAGAGUCAAAAUGUUGGGGCAGUAGAGGGUGGGAAGGAGCAAACAGUGUGGACUGGUGCUGUCAUUUCAGCUCCUGGGACAGCUCUACCCUUUCACUGUUUGUGGGCUUGUAAACUGCCAGGCAGGGAUUGCCUGAUCCCACAUACAGGAUCACAGCUGAAGUCACUUCUGCAUUACACACCCACCAGCUUUUUAUUUUUAGAAAAGGAUCUUUCCAGACUACUUGCAGAUAAGUAGCAAUUUUCCUUCUGUUGGUGACAGGGCAGUUUGGGCCAGAAGGAAACCCCUAUUAGCUGCUGUCUUCUCCUCCCAUUUGCUUUUUGAACGUUAUCAACUAUUCUGUGUCAGCUCCUCUUCCUCUCCCAAAGUCAGUACUUUUCCAUGACAGUUAUUUUUCAGGUGAGGCUGGAGCUGUUUCCUCAGCCUGCUUCAAGAUUUGAUGGUUUAAAGUGAAGGGGGAAACUCACAUAAAAAAUUAACAGCUUAAAAAUUGCAUUGUAAAGGAACUCACAGGAGGUAUAAAGAGGUGGUGAGGAGGAGAUGCAGGUGUCCUACAAACAGAAACCAGUAACAGAGUUCCUGUCCUGGGGAUGUACAGCACUGGUUUGUGAUCACUCCUUGCUUUUCUCAGUCCCCACAGGACUCCACCUUCCUCCAGGAUGGCAAGACCCCAUGAGCACCUCGUCCUGCUGGGCACUUCCCUUUGGCUCCUCUCUGACCACUUAGUGAUUUCCACAAGCUCACAGAACAUAAAAUGAUCUUUGGGACUCCCA